CAGAAAUGGAGACCUGGCCGCGAUAACUCCAUCAGAGCAUCGAUAUGUAAAGAUACAUGUUUAUAAGUCGGCAAGCGAUAGCAGCUCUUUUAUACAAUGAGCUUACUUGGUACUACCAUGGACGGCUGACGCAACACGUUCGACAUUUAAAACAAGGAUGUGGCGGCGGUGAACUCGACGAGGUGAUUGUGGCACUCAUUCGCGGGUACGUCCCACGAUUCAAAAUCGUCUACCUUCUUCCUUAUGUUCUCUCUCCUUCUCGAUCUUGGUCAUCUUCAUUUGGAGCAGGCUGGAUAGUUCUCCGUUCUCCACAUCUAUCUCAGCGCCCCACAAAAUACAUCUCGCACCAAGGGUCCAGUUCUCUGCAGCAACUCAUUUCACAUUCCUUUCAAGAAAAAAAUAUCUCACCCCUUCUCGCCGAGCAGUUGCGGAGACAGUUAUUCAAACUGCUACCAAAGAACAUUCCACAUGUUCCUCCUGCUCGCUGCCCGACAGAUGUACAACGACCAAUUGUUAUUCGGUUUCAGCGACGUUCUAGUCUGGUCACCCCGGGAAUAGAGGGGAUGAGAUCUCACAACGACCUGCAAAAUCCCAAAGUUGUGGCCGACACAAAGAUUUUCCGUUCUCAGCGAUCGUCAAUCAAGUAUUCCGCGAGCAUAGAGUCAUGACACACUUGACGACACUGCGGUAUUUCAUCCUCUGUGUUCCCACCCUCAUUCGCCGUCUCGGCAGUACGUAUGUAUCUCUUAACACGUGUUAUGACUUUGAUUACGCUCCAUAUAUCAUAAAUUACUUUUCUCCCGAUGGUAUGUCUUUUUCCGAGGCCUUCAAACGGUGCUGCAAGCACUACGUGUUUGAUUGUCCGAGCCUUCGUCCGGCAGAAUUAGGAAAAGCAAAUCUAUAGUGGCCCUCCACAAUGCGCUCGCGAAAAUGGAUAUGGACACUCGUGACGGUUCUCGUCAUAUAGAAUGACGCGGUGAAAUUGGAUUAGGUUCCGUGCAGUUGUGUGCCUGUCCCCUGUCUAUCGUUCAACAGCCUGCCUUGGUGCUUAGUUUCCCUCCUCCUCAUCCUCACCUUCAUCCUCGUCAUCAACUUCGUCUGAAUUCAUUUCAUUCCAUCCUUGUCAGUUAUAUUUCUAAACUAUCGACUUGCCUUUCUGUAGUUACCCACCAUCCCUUCCCUGUUACUAUUUACUUUAUCCACAUCGCGGCUACUCUCUUCUUUUGCGUCUGUUCUGAUUUACCUUACUUUUGUCACUAUUUUGCUUCAUUUACUGUUCUCUUCUAGCCUCUUCUUCCGUUUCGUUUCUCGUAGUUCGGGCUCCUUUUUGUCGCCGACGCGUAUGUCUCAAUGGCCUUGUGGAGCGAAUGUCUCUAUGCAUGAUGUUCCUCGCGCGAUU
RNAcentral lists this small RNA (1399 nucleotides) under Cryptococcus neoformans H99. RNAcentral's name for it is "Cryptococcus neoformans var. grubii H99 hypothetical RNA". The record is from RNAcentral. Lineage: Eukaryota; Fungi; Basidiomycota; Tremellomycetes; Tremellales; Cryptococcaceae.